CGCUAUGGCGGGUUGUGCGGGCAGCUUCACGGCUGGCCGUUACUCCUACGGUAUUCCUACCCCGCACAACCAGCCGCCUAU
RNAcentral lists this non-coding RNA (81 nucleotides) under Candidatus Kentrum sp. TUN. Lineage: Bacteria; Pseudomonadati; Pseudomonadota; Gammaproteobacteria. The record is from RNAcentral.